AAUAAAAAUUAAAAUCAGAUGAUCCAAACACGCUAUAUCAUCAUAAACCACCUAACUGUAUUUUUGUCCAGACAUUACAACUUCUGAGAGACAGAUUCCGAGCUUGCAUGGAGAUUGAAUCCUCCCCUUCAACGUCAUCGUCGGCAUUGUAUUCCUCCGAUCAACAUCACGUUCCUCAUAAAUGGCUCGAGGUUCAGGAUUCGCUGAAGAAGAAAUUAGUCACCGAAGAUGAUUACACCUGGAAAUUAGCGGAAACAGGAGAGGGUUGUGGAGUAGAAUUGUUGAAGUACAUCGGCGGAGUUGAUAUAAGUUUCUCCAAAGAUGAUCCGUCAGUUGCUUGCGGAACCCUCGUUGUUUUGGAUUUCAAAACUCUCGAUGUCGUUUAUGAGGAUUCGUCUAUCGUUACCAUCGAUGUUCCAUAUGUUCCCGGCUUUCUUGGCUUUAGAGAGGCUCCUAUAUUUCUAAAACUAUUGGAGAAAAUGCAAAACGGUUCUCAUCCUUUCUACCCUCAGUUAUUGAUGAUUGAUGGAAAUGGCAUACUUCAUCCUCGAGGCUUUGGCUCAGCUUGUCAUCUUGGGGUUCUGGCUAAUCUUCCUACAAUUGGUAUAGGGAAGAAUUUGCAUCAUGUGGAUGGUCUUACUAACUCAAAAGUAAGGGAGCUGUUUGAAGCUGAAGAGAAUUACAACAUAGACUUCAUUUAUUUAAUUGGGGACUCAGGGAACACUUUAGGAGCUGCAUUACAUUCAAGUAAAGGAUCAUUUAAACCAAUAUUUGUUUCAAUAGGCCACCGUGUAUCUUUGGCUUCUGCCGUUGAAGUUGUUAGAAGAACAUGCAACUACCGUGUCCCCGAGCCCAUUCGCCAGGCUGACAUAAGAUCAAGAGAGUAUCUUCGGAAGCAUCAUUGAAUUGUGUUGGGAUGUUGUAACUUGUAACUGCACUUUACUUACUUGAUGACACAGUGGCAUUCAAAUACAAUGGAGGUUGGUUUAAAUUAACUUUUUAACAAUAAAAGCCGGAGGAUUUCAGGAGCAGCAGCAGCAGCAGUAGACAGUCAGUUCCCGAUCAGAUCAGCAGCUACUUUGAGGUAUCUCUUCAGCCAAGGGGAAGGAGCAGGCGCGGUAGCGGCUCAUCACACACACACACCCUUUGAUUCCGCAUUUAUGAGUUUACCCUGGGAUUGAUACUCUGACAUUUUGGUUGUUUAACUGUUAUGGAUUUCAAAUUCGGUUUUCGAUGUGAAAUGGUUUAAUUAAGCAAUGUUUUAAUUAUUAAUGUUUUCUAAAGUAAUGUUUUAAAAACGAAA
This is an RNA transcript of Lactuca sativa (garden lettuce), 1303 nucleotides long. It is a transcript of the gene named endonuclease V family protein, with no coding region annotated. The record is from RefSeq and is a predicted model, not a curated record. NCBI's taxonomy places the organism in Eukaryota, Viridiplantae, Streptophyta, Magnoliopsida, Asterales, Asteraceae.